AACGAACGCUGGCGGCAUGCCUAACACAUGCAAGUCGAACGAGACCUUCGGGUCUAGUGGCGCACGGGUGCGUAACGCGUGGGAACCUGCCCUUAGGUUCGGAAUAACUCCCCGAAAGGGGUGCUAAUACCGGAUAAUGUCUUCGGACCAAAGAUUUGUCGCCUUUGGAUGGGCCCGCGUUGGAUUAGCUAGUUGGUAGGGUAAAAGCCUACCAAGGUGACGAUCCAUAGCUGGUCUGAGAGGAUGAUCAGCCACACUGGGACUGAGACACGGCCCAGACUCCUACGGGAGGCAGCAGUGGGGAAUAUUGGACAAUGGGCGAAAGCCUGAUCCAGCAAUUCCGCGUGAGUGAUGAAGGCCUUAGGGUUGUAAAGCUCUUUUACCCGGGAUGAUAAUGACAGUACCGGGAGAAUAAGCUCCGGCUAACUCCGUG
RNAcentral lists this ribosomal RNA (433 nucleotides) under uncultured bacterium. RNAcentral's name for it is "partial 16S ribosomal RNA". It matches the Rfam family "Bacterial small subunit ribosomal RNA", at positions 29 to 507 of the family's 1533-position model. The record is from RNAcentral.